GUCGGAAUGGGGGAAUUGGUAGACCCGGCAGGCUCAAACCCUGCUGCUUUAAAAAGCGUGAGAGUUCGAAUCUCUCUUCCGAUA
RNAcentral lists this transfer RNA (84 nucleotides) under Candidatus Sericytochromatia bacterium. RNAcentral describes it as "tRNA-Leu". It matches the Rfam family "tRNA". Rfam says of the family: Transfer RNA (tRNA) molecules are approximately 80 nucleotides in length. Their secondary structure includes four short double-helical elements and three loops (D, anti-codon, and T loops). Further hydrogen bonds mediate the characteristic L-shaped molecular structure. tRNAs have two regions of fundamental functional importance: the anti-codon, which is responsible for specific mRNA codon recognition, and the 3' end, to which the tRNAs corresponding amino acid is attached (by aminoacyl-tRNA synthetases). tRNAs cope with the degeneracy of the genetic code in two manners: having more than one tRNA (with a specific anti-codon) for a particular amino acid; and 'wobble' base-pairing, i.e. permitting non-standard base-pairing at the 3rd anti-codon position. Lineage: Bacteria; Bacillati; Candidatus Sericytochromatia. The record is from RNAcentral.